This is a long non-coding RNA of Ictalurus furcatus (blue catfish), 119 nucleotides long. RefSeq lists it as uncharacterized. The transcript is spliced from 3 exons. The record is from RefSeq and is a predicted model, not a curated record. Lineage: Eukaryota; Metazoa; Chordata; Actinopteri; Siluriformes; Ictaluridae.
ACUCAAGCUCUGAAUAGAAGGUUUUGAUGAUUCUCUGAUUGUGAACGAUCAUCUCCUUAUCUUCUGAUCUUCUCGAGUGCGACUCUUCAGUCCUCUCUUGCUGAAGCAUCAUCAUGGAG